This 855-nucleotide ribosomal RNA is filed under the name Bacillus zhangzhouensis. RNAcentral's name for it is "bacterial SSU rRNA". It matches the Rfam family "Bacterial small subunit ribosomal RNA", at positions 31 to 868 of the family's 1533-position model. Lineage: Bacteria; Bacillati; Bacillota; Bacilli; Caryophanales; Bacillaceae. The record is from RNAcentral.
CGACGCUGGCGGCGUGCCUAAUACAUGCAAGUCGAGCGGACAGAAGGGAGCUUGCUCCCGGAUGUUAGCGGCGGACGGGUGAGUAACACGUGGGUAACCUGCCUGUAAGACUGGGAUAACUCCGGGAAACCGGAGCUAAUACCGGAUAGUUCCUUGAACCGCAUGGUUCAAGGAUGAAAGACGGUUUCGGCUGUCACUUACAGAUGGACCCGCGGCGCAUUAGCUAGUUGGUGGGGUAAUGGCUCACCAAGGCGACGAUGCGUAGCCGACCUGAGAGGGUGAUCGGCCACACUGGGACUGAGACACGGCCCAGACUCCUACGGGAGGCAGCAGUAGGGAAUCUUCCGCAAUGGACGAAAGUCUGACGGAGCAACGCCGCGUGAGUGAUGAAGGUUUUCGGAUCGUAAAGCUCUGUUGUUAGGGAAGAACAAGUGCGAGAGUAACUGCUCGCACCUUGACGGUACCUAACCAGAAAGCCACGGCUAACUACGUGCCAGCAGCCGCGGUAAUACGUAGGUGGCAAGCGUUGUCCGGAAUUAUUGGGCGUAAAGGGCUCGCAGGCGGUUUCUUAAGUCUGAUGUGAAAGCCCCCGGCUCAACCGGGGAGGGUCAUUGGAAACUGGGAAACUUGAGUGCAGAAGAGGAGAGUGGAAUUCCACGUGUAGCGGUGAAAUGCGUAGAGAUGUGGAGGAACACCAGUGGCGAAGGCGACUCUCUGGUCUGUAACUGACGCUGAGGAGCGAAAGCGUGGGGAGCGAACAGGAUUAGAUACCCUGGUAGUCCACGCCGUAAACGAUGAGUGCUAAGUGUUAGGGGGUUUCCGCCCCUUAGUGCUGCAGCUAACGCAUUAAGCACU